AUUGAACGCUGGCGGCAUGCCUUACGCAUGCAAGUCGAACGGCAGCACGGGAGCAAUCCUGGUGGCGAGUGGCGAACGGGUGAGUAAUGUAUCGGAACGUACCUUUCAGUGGGGGAUAACGUAGCGAAAGUUACGCUAAUACCGCAUAUUCUGUGUGCAGGAAAGCAGGGGAUCGCAAGACCUUGCGCUGAUUGAGCGGCCGAUAUCAGAUUAGCUAGUUGGUGAGGUAAAGGCUCACCAAGGCGACGAUCUGUAGCGGGUCUGAGAGGAUGAUCCGCCACACUGGAACUGAGACACGGUCCAGACUCCUACGGGAGGCAGCAGUGGAGAAUUUUGGUAC
This 340-nucleotide ribosomal RNA is filed under the name uncultured bacterium. Its description in RNAcentral is "bacterial SSU rRNA". It matches the Rfam family "Bacterial small subunit ribosomal RNA", at positions 30 to 370 of the family's 1533-position model. The record is from RNAcentral.